GGAUGCGAUCAUACCAGCACUAAAGCACCGGAUCCCAUCAGAACUCCGAAGUUAAGCGUGCUUCGGCGAGAGUAGUAAUAGGAUGGGUGACCUCUUGGGAAGUCCUCGUGUUGCAUUCC
Molecule: ribosomal RNA, 119 nt
Filed under: Triticum aestivum (bread wheat)
Lineage: Eukaryota; Viridiplantae; Streptophyta; Magnoliopsida; Poales; Poaceae
Source: RNAcentral